UUUAAGUGCAGUGGUGGGUUUCUAUGUCCAAUAUUGAACCGUCCGUUUUAUUUAAAAAAAAAUUGUGAUUAGUAUUUUUAUGGUUAUUAGAUGAUAAAAAUAUCAAUAGUACUUUAUGCAUGAUUUUUUUUAUUUUUUUACAAAUUUUUUAAAUAAGAUGAAUAGUUAAAUGUUACCCAUAACUAUAUUUAAA
Molecule: microRNA precursor, 193 nt
Organism: Oryza sativa Japonica Group (Japanese rice)
Lineage: Eukaryota; Viridiplantae; Streptophyta; Magnoliopsida; Poales; Poaceae
Rfam family: MIR812 microRNA precursor family
Source: Rfam